CGCUGGCGGCGUGCUUAACACAUGCAAGUCGAACGGUAAGGCCCCUUCGGGGGUACACGAGUGGCGAACGGGUGAGUAACACGUGGGUAAUCUGCCCUGCACUUCGGGAUAAGCCUGGGAAACUGGGUCUAAUACCGGAUAUGAGCUCCUGCCGCAUGGUGGGGGUUGGAAAGUUUUUCGGUGCAGGAUGAGUCCGCGGCCUAUCAGCUUGUUGGUGGGGUAAUGGCCUACCAAGGCGACGACGGGUAGCCGGCCUGAGAGGGUGAUCGGCCACACUGGGACUGAGACACGGCCCAGACUCCUACGGGAGGCAGCAGUGGGGAAUAUUGCACAAUGGGCGAAAGCCUGAUGCAGCGACGCCGCGUGGGGGAUGACGGUCUUCGGAUUGUAAACCCCUUUCAGUAGGGACGAAGCGCAAGUGACGGUACCUGCAGAAGAAGCACCGGCCAACUACGUG
RNAcentral lists this ribosomal RNA (457 nucleotides) under uncultured bacterium. RNAcentral describes it as "bacterial SSU rRNA". It matches the Rfam family "Bacterial small subunit ribosomal RNA", at positions 34 to 507 of the family's 1533-position model. The record is from RNAcentral.